GGGCCGGUAGCUCAGUUGGUCAGAGCAGCGGACUCAUAAUCCGUCGGACGCAGGUUCGAGUCCUGCCCGGCCCAC
Molecule: transfer RNA, 75 nt
Filed under: Capillimicrobium parvum
Lineage: Bacteria; Bacillati; Actinomycetota; Thermoleophilia; Solirubrobacterales; Capillimicrobiaceae
Description: tRNA-Met
Rfam family: tRNA
About the family: Transfer RNA (tRNA) molecules are approximately 80 nucleotides in length. Their secondary structure includes four short double-helical elements and three loops (D, anti-codon, and T loops).
Source: RNAcentral